Talpa occidentalis (Iberian mole) is the source of this 530-nucleotide long non-coding RNA. RefSeq lists it as uncharacterized. The transcript is spliced from 4 exons. The record is from RefSeq and is a predicted model, not a curated record. Lineage: Eukaryota; Metazoa; Chordata; Mammalia; Eulipotyphla; Talpidae.
CAUCCCACCCCAGGUUGGCUUCUGGGAUUUCACGCUUAAGUCUCGGGAGCCAUGCCGCAGGAUGAUCUCACUAUACUCCACCUGUAACAUUUGUACCUUUCUAUUGAUUUCCUCUUCUCAAGUUUCUCAAGGCCUUGGGGCCUUCCAACAGAGUAUAAAGUAGGAAGAUCACCGUGAUGGCGGGAUUGCACAGAGCAGGAUCUCUAUGAACCAGGCAGACAGAAAAAUCAUCUCCUAGUCGCUGGUGCAAGAAGGGAAGAGCCCAAUUGCUGCAGCGUGAAAUAAACCCGCAGUUCUCACAUCUUGAGAAGAUUCCUUUGAAGUGAAGGCGAAGUCCUCAGGCAGUUUAUGCCUUAAAUUUCAGAACCUCCGGGCAUGCGCAGCGGCGCAGGUGCACUGCAUUUGCAUCAGCCCUUCGUCUUUUCCUCCGACGUCCUGCCACCAGCUCUCGGCACCCCUCUCACUGGCCUGUGCGUCGGUCCCCGCCCCUAGCGGUCAGUAGGCGGCGCCUGCUCCCUUUAACCAGUCUC